GAUGAACGCUGGCGGCGUGCCUAAUACAUGCAAGUCGAGCGAACGGACGAGAAGCUUGCUUCUCUGAUGUUAGCGGCGGACGGGUGAGUAACACGUGGAUAACCUACCUAUAAGACUGGGAUAACUUCGGGAAACCGGAGCUAAUACCGGAUGAUAUUUUGAACCGCAUGGUUCAAAAGUGAAAGACGGUCUUGCUGUCACUUAUAGAUGGAUCCGCGCUGCAUUAGCUAGUUGGUAAGGUAACGGCCUACCAAGGCAACGAUGCAUAGCCGACCUGAGAGGGUGAUCGGCCACACUGGAACUGAGACACGGUCCAGACUCCUACGGGAGGCAGCAGUAGGGAAUCUUCCGCAAUGGGCGAAAGCCUGACGGAGCAACGCCGCGUGAGUGAUGAAGGUCUUCGGAUCGUAAAACUCUGUUAUUAGGGAAGAACAUAUGUGUAAGUAACUGUGCACAUCUUGACGGUACCUAAUCAGAAAGCCCCGGCUAACUACGUG
This 497-nucleotide ribosomal RNA is filed under the name uncultured bacterium. RNAcentral's name for it is "partial 16S ribosomal RNA". It matches the Rfam family "Bacterial small subunit ribosomal RNA", at positions 28 to 507 of the family's 1533-position model. The record is from RNAcentral.